RNAcentral lists this ribosomal RNA (283 nucleotides) under uncultured bacterium. RNAcentral describes it as "partial 16S ribosomal RNA". It matches the Rfam family "Bacterial small subunit ribosomal RNA", at positions 333 to 614 of the family's 1533-position model. The record is from RNAcentral.
UGUCGCCUACGGGGCGCAGCGGUGAGGAAUAUUGGUCAAUGGGCGAGAGCCUGAACCAGCCAAGUCGCGUGAGGGAGUACUGCCCUAUGGGUUGUAAACCUCUUUUGUCGGGGAGCAAAAGCCGGACGUGUCCGUCUGUGAGAGUACCCGAAGAAAAAGCAUCGGCUAACUCCGUGCCAGCAGCCGCGGUAAUACGGAGGAUCCGGGCGUUAUCCGGAUUCAGUGGGUUUAAAGGGUGCGUAGGUUGUUUUAUAAGUUAGCGGUGAAAUACCGAUGCUCAACA